This 662-nucleotide ribosomal RNA is filed under the name uncultured bacterium. Its description in RNAcentral is "bacterial SSU rRNA". It matches the Rfam family "Bacterial small subunit ribosomal RNA", at positions 831 to 1502 of the family's 1533-position model. The record is from RNAcentral.
CAUACAUCGUCAGCGGCUAAGGGAAACCGAUAAGUGAGCCACCUGGGGAGUACGAUCGCAAGAUUGAAACUCAAAGGAAUUGACGGGGGCCCGCACAAGCGGAGGAACAUGUGGUUUAAUUCGAUGAUACGCGAGGAACCUUACCUGGGCUUAAAUGUAGAGUGCAUUACUUAGAAAUAGGUAUUUCCUUCGGGACUCUUUACAAGGUGCUGCAUGGUUGUCGUCAGCUCGUGCCGUGAGGUGUCGGGUUAAGUCCCAUAACGAGCGCAACCCCUAUCGUUAGUUACCAGCACGUAGUGGUGGGGACUCUAGCGAAACUGCCGGUGUAAACCGUGAGGAAGGUGGGGAUGACGUCAAAUCAGCACGGCCCUUAUGUCCAGGGCUACACACGUGUUACAACGGCCGGUACAACGGGCAGCCACAUAGCAAUAUGGAGCUAAUCUCAAAAGCCGGUCUCAGUUCGGAUUGGAGUCUGCAACCCGACUCCAUGAAGGUGGAUUCGCUAGUAAUCGCGCAUCAGCCAUGGCGCGGUGAAUACGUUCCCGGGCCUUGUACACACCGCCCGUCAAGCCAUGGAAGUUUGGGGUGCCUGAAGUUCGUAACCGCAAGGAGCGACCUAGGGUAAAACAAAUGACUGGGGCUAAGUCGUAACAAGGUAGCCG